This 99-nucleotide small RNA is filed under the name Procavia capensis (Cape rock hyrax). RNAcentral's name for it is "Y RNA (ENSPCAG00000019736.1)". The record is from RNAcentral. Lineage: Eukaryota; Metazoa; Chordata; Mammalia; Hyracoidea; Procaviidae.
GUCUAGUCUGACAUCCUGGCUCUAUGCUAAUUGAUCACAACCAGUUACAGAUUCCUUUGUUCCUUCUCCACUCCCGCUGCUUCACUUGACCGGUCUUAG